GAUGAACGCUGGCGGCGUGCCUAAUACAUGCAAGUCGAGCGAACAGACUAGGAGCUUUCUCCCUUACCGUUAGCGGCUGACGGGUGAGUAACACGUGGAUAACCUACCUCUAUGACUUGGAUAACUUCGUGAAACCGGUGCUACUACCGGAUAAUAUAUUCAACCGCAUGGUUCAAUAGUUCUUGACGGCUUUCCUGUCACUUUUAGAUGGAUCCGCGCCGCAUUAGCUAGUUGGUAAGGUAACGGCUUACCAAGGCAACGAUGCGUAGCCGACCUGAGAGGGUGAUCGGCCACACUGGAACUGAGACACGGUCCAGACUCCUACGGGAGGCAGCAGUAGGGAAUAUUCCGCAAAGGGCGAAAGCCUGACGGAGCAACGCCGCGUGAGUGAAGAAGGUCUUCGGAUCGUAAAACUCUGUUAUUAGGGAAGAACAAAUGUGGAAGUAAAUAUGCACGUCUUGACGGUACCUAAUCAGAAAGCCACGGCUAACUACGUG
RNAcentral lists this ribosomal RNA (497 nucleotides) under uncultured bacterium. Its description in RNAcentral is "partial 16S ribosomal RNA". It matches the Rfam family "Bacterial small subunit ribosomal RNA", at positions 28 to 507 of the family's 1533-position model. The record is from RNAcentral.